This 397-nucleotide ribosomal RNA is filed under the name uncultured bacterium. RNAcentral describes it as "partial 16S ribosomal RNA". It matches the Rfam family "Bacterial small subunit ribosomal RNA", at positions 28 to 426 of the family's 1533-position model. The record is from RNAcentral.
GACGAACGCUGGCGGCGUGCUUAACACAUGCAAGUCGAGCGGUAAGGCCCUUUCGGGGGUACACGAGCGGCGAACGGGUGCGUAAUACAUGGGAAUCUGCCUUUUAGUUGGGGAAGUAACCCGGCCGAAAGCCGGGCUAAUGCCGCAUAAGAUCUUCGGAUGAAAGCGGGGGAUCGUAAGACCUCGCGCUGAUAGAUGAGCCCAUGCCGGAUUAGCUAGUUGGUGAGGUAACGGCUCACCAAGGCGACGAUCCGUAGCUGGUCUGAGAGGACGGCCAGCCACACUGGGACUGAGACACGGCCCAGACUCCUACGGGAGGCAGCAGUGGGGAAUAUUGGACAAUGGGGGAAACCCUGAUCCAGCGACGCCGCGUGUGUGAAGAAGGCCUGCGGGUUGU